UUAAUUCUUUCUCUUUUUCCUCUGUUUAAUUGUAAUCAUAGUCUUUGGCAUUGAUCAUUGAUUAUACUAAUUUUUACAGUUCCGUGAUUGAUUUGAAUUUUUGGUUAGAGGUACUGAUAAGUUGAUUUAACCUAGUGGUCUAACAAGAUAGUUUAGUAAAGUACACUGUAGUUAUAGGACUGAUUUGAUGUUGUAAAUCGCCCUUCUUUCUGUUAGAUUCAGUCUAUUUGUUUUUACUGUGUCGAUUCCAGUUGAUAGUUCGAUUUGACAUUUCCUCGGACAGCUGUUGGAAGUGACUUGGUUUGGUUUUUCCUGCUGUUAGUGACAGAGUAACACCUGGGACAGAAGGGACAGCAUAGCGGUUGUUUAGAGUAUUCCAGUUUGCAUGAUGGCUGCGCUUACGACUCAGGAACUGCUUGUCAGGGCCAGAGAGGAGGAAGCAGGUAGCUGUGAACAUGGCCGUAAAACACCAAGUGAAUACCAGGAGGCCGCAGAGGAGCUGUAUAUUACUUCAGGACUCCUGUCUAUCAAAAUACACGUGCAGAGGACCCAUCCAAACAACGACAAAGAAGGAGAGGUUGCUGAUGGAGGACGUCAUCACAAUAGACAUUGUAUCCUGGUGAAGAAGGCUCCAAACCACUACGCAGACUAUAUUCUCCCUAUAAGAAAUGAGCCACCUGCAGCCUCCCCUGUCCCACAGUGCCCACUACUGAGAAAAGCCAACGGUCAGAGAGAGUUUGUGCCCUGGGGCCAUCGAGACAUGGAAGCUCUGGAGAAGGCACUGCCGCCAUUGGGAGAAGGAGCUAACCCAUGGAUCCGGCUCUUUGAAAAAUACACAACGGCUGAUAAAUUGGCACUUGGAGAUAUACGGGCUUUAGUAGCCCGUCUAGAGGGAACAGUCAAUUUGAGAGCCUUGGAAGUAAGAUCAGGUACAACAGACUUAGAAGAUGAUGAUCCAUUCGACGGUCUCAGAGGAGCUUUCUGGGAAGCGAUGCGAACAGUUUGGCCCACAAAGAUGAGCAUGACAGUCCUAGCCACAUUGGAGAUGAAGCCAGCAGAAGAGAUGUUCCAGUACUUGAGGAGAGCAGAAACAGAAUGGCAUUUGGCCACAGGAGAAAGACACGACAAUAACAAAUCUACUGCAGUAAUCUGGCGACACACUGUGCAGCAAGGCUUGCCCCAGGCUGUUCAAACAGCGUUGGAGGGAGUAGUGGGACUGGACAACAUGGAUGAAAUCACAUGGAGAGACCAUCUAACCCACUUCUACAAAAUACAGAGAGCGGCGGAGACAAGGAGGCAAGAAGAACUGAGGACGAUGACGCAUCGACUCCUGGAGAUCCAACUGGCAGCAGCAGAUGCAGAAGCAACGAAAAAACAGAGAGUCAGGAAACAACUGUCGGUGAGAGAUGAACAACCUCAAUACCCCGUUCCUCCAGAGGCCCAAUAUCCAGCCCCAGCAGUCAGAGACCGUUCAAUGGUUGACCAGCAACCACCACCUCAGCGCAGAGGCAGAGGACGUGGAAAUAAUAGGGGAAGAGGAGAUGAAUGCUACUUAUGCGGACAGAUGGGUCAUUGGUCAAGAAUAUGUCCAACGAACAUGCAGUUCAGUGCAGCUCCUCCACGGUCUUCCCGUCAAAUGCAGCCCCGGCAGGACCAGAGGGUCUAUCUCACCUCCACCCCCUCAUGCAAACCCCACAGCAGACGAGGCCCUAAAACAACUAACUGGUGACACACCGACCCCCGCUGCUUUCCAACAGCUCAGAUAAGCACCCUCAGUCUCUACGGUGUACGACUCACAUUCCAGGUAGAAAAGGGAGACUGGAGAUUACAGACGGCUGAGAGUGUCAGCUCAAACUAGACUUAAACCCGUAGGGAAGAUUGAUUUUAAAAAGGGGAAAUCAGUCAUUGAAAUUAAGAGAUAAGGUUGUGUAAGAUUUAAAUGAGGAAUGAAGGAGAAGAAAUUGACUGUGAAGGUGAGAAUGAGAGGUAACAUUUUUGUGUAAACUUGGUAUGAGCAGAUUGCUUUGAGGUUAGACUGAACAAAGAGAACUUGGUUGGUCAAUUAGUUCAUGAAGACAUGGAACAGUCAUACACCAUGAGGGUGAGACCUACAAGCAAAACCUCAAAGGGAUCAUUGAACGGGGACACGAAGGCAAUGUUGGUGUUAAUUUUUCAUGAGUUGACUAUGGGGGUCAAUAAUCAGUUAUGUCGAAGAUUCCAAAUUUCUAUAAAUAAAUGGCUCCUCAAAUCGGUUGGAAACAAGGCCGUUUGAGAAAGGCAAUUUUCCAAAACAAUGUGUAAAUACUUUAGGAGCAGAUAAAGAUAUGCAGAGGCAUUCUUUACGUCAACGCAUCACAUUCUUCAUUCAGCUGAGGCUCUAAUCCAAAGUGACUUGCAGGAAGUGAAUUUGAACAAGAGGAACAGAAC
Gasterosteus aculeatus aculeatus (three-spined stickleback) is the source of this 2427-nucleotide long non-coding RNA. The record is from Ensembl. Lineage: Eukaryota; Metazoa; Chordata; Actinopteri; Perciformes; Gasterosteidae.